UGAGUAACACGUGGGCAAUCUGCCCUGCACUCUGYAACAAGYCCCUGGAAACGGGRUCUAAUACCGGAUACUGACCUGCCAAGGCAUCUUGGCGGGUCGAAAGCUCCGGCGGUGCAGGAUGAGCCCGCGGCCUAUCAGCUUGUUGGUGAGGUAAUGGCUCACCAAGGCGACGACGGGUAGCCGGCCUGAGAGGGCGACCGGCCACACUGGGACUGAGACACGGCCCAGACUCCUAYGGGAGGCAGCAGUGGGGAAUAUUGCACAAUGGGCGAAAGCCUGAUGCAGCGACGCCGCGUGAGGGAUGACGGCCUUCGGGUUGUAAACCUCUUUCAGCAGGGAAGAAGCGAAAGUGACGGUACCUGCAGAAGAAGCGCCGGCUAACUACGUGCCAGCAGCCGCGGUAAUACGUAGGGCGCAAGCGUUGUCCGGAAUUAUUGGGCGUAAAGAGCUCGUAGGCGGCUUGUCGCGUCGGUUGUGAAAGCCCGGGGCUUAACCCCGGGUCUGCAGUCGAUACGGGCAGGCUAGAGUUCGGUAGGGGAGAUCGGAAUUCCUGGUGUAGCGGUGAAAUGCGCAGAUAUCAGGAGGAACACCGGUGGCGAAGGCGGAUYUCUGGGCCGAUACUGACGCUGAGGAGCGAAAGCGUGGGGAGCGAACAGGAUUAGAUACCCUGGUAGUCCACGCCGUAAACGGUGGGCACUAGGUGUGGGCAACAUUCCACGUUGUCCGUGCCGCAGCUAACGCAUUAAGUGCCCCGCCUGGGGAGUACGGCCGCAAGGCUAAAACUCAAAGGAAUUGACGGGGGCCCGCACAAGCGGCGGAGCAUGUGGCUUAAUUCGACGCAACGCGAAGAACCUUACCAAGGCUUGACAUACACCGGAAASSWYCAGAGAUGGKSSCCCCCUUGUGGUCGGUGUACAGGUGGUGCAUGGCUGUC
Molecule: ribosomal RNA, 934 nt
Filed under: Streptomyces coelicoflavus
Lineage: Bacteria; Bacillati; Actinomycetota; Actinomycetes; Kitasatosporales; Streptomycetaceae
Description: bacterial SSU rRNA
Rfam family: Bacterial small subunit ribosomal RNA
Source: RNAcentral